RNAcentral lists this ribosomal RNA (445 nucleotides) under uncultured bacterium. Its description in RNAcentral is "partial 16S ribosomal RNA". It matches the Rfam family "Bacterial small subunit ribosomal RNA", at positions 354 to 796 of the family's 1533-position model. The record is from RNAcentral.
GUGAGGAAUAUUGCGCAAUGGAGGCAACUCUGACGCAGCCAUGCCGCGUGCAGGAAGAAGGCGCUACGCGUUGUAAACUGCUUUUAACCGGGAAGAAACCCCAGGACGUGUCCUGGGUUGACGGUACCGGAGGAAUAAGCACCGGCUAACUUCGUGCCAGCAGCCGCGGUAAUACGAAGGGUGCAAGCGUUAUCCGGAUUCAUUGGGUUUAAAGGGUGCGUAGGCGGAGCGUUAAGUCAGUGUUGAAAUCCUGCAGCUUAACUGUAGACUUGCAAUGGAUACUGGCGCGCUUGAGUGCGCUUGAAGUGGGCGGAAUGUGCCGUGUAGCGGUGAAAUGCUUAGAUAUGGCACAGAACACCAAUUGCGAAGGCAGCUCACUAAGGCGAUACUGACGCUGAGGCACGAAAGCGUGGGGAUCGAACAGGAUUAGAAACCCCAGUAGUCC